CCUACGGGUCGCACCAGUGGGGAAUAUUGCACAAUGGGCGCGAGCCUGAUGCAGCCAUGCCGCGUGUAUGAAGAAGGCCUUCGGGUUGUAAAGUACUUUCAGCGGGGAGGAAGGUGUUGAGGUUAAUAACCUCAGCAAUUGACGUUACCCGCAGAAGAAGCACCGGCUAACUCCGUGCCAGCAGCCGCGGUAAUACGGAGGGUGCAAGCGUUAAUCGGAAUUACUGGGCGUAAAGCGCACGCAGGCGGUCUGUCAAGUCGGAUGUGGAAUCCCAGGGCUGAACCUGGGAACUGCAUUCGAAACUGGCAGGCUAGAGUCUUGUAGAGGGGGGUAGAAUUCCAGGUGUAGCGGUGGAAUGCGUAGAGAUCUGGAGGAAUACCGGUGGCGAAGGCGGCCCCCUGGACAAAGACUGACGCCCAGGUGCGAAAGCGUGGGGAGCAAACAGGAUUAGAUACCCGCGUAGUC
RNAcentral lists this ribosomal RNA (465 nucleotides) under uncultured bacterium. RNAcentral's name for it is "bacterial SSU rRNA". It matches the Rfam family "Bacterial small subunit ribosomal RNA", at positions 338 to 795 of the family's 1533-position model. The record is from RNAcentral.